AAAUGGGUAGCUUAUGCAUCAUAAAAAAUAUUUUAGAGCCUUGAAGUUGUGUGUUCGUAUGAAUGAAGCAAAAUAUGCUUUAGAAGCUUUAAAUAUCGGCUACAAAAAUAAUAGAGAGAGAAGAUGAAGGUCUGGCACACAGUAGCAAUUAUAUAUCAGUAAGUAGGUCGCUGACAUAGUAGCAAUUUAAUGCUAUUUAUUUCUGUCAUGUGUUUAGCAGAUUGCAAACUCUUUCUAGCGAAACGCAUAAAUUGGUGUAGUUCGUGUAUCCAAAGCAGUUAGAGUUCGACAGAAGAAACCGGCAAAGGGGAAUUAUCUCAUCCUCGAUAUCACGAGUCCACAGCGACCACUCCAUCUGCACAGCAGAGAUGGGAUGCACAGCAUGCGCACGCCUUAUCGUGUCGGGACUUGCUUCGCACAGGCCGAUGUACUUGAUCUUCCCUUCCUCCACUAAUUUCUUCAGUUCAUGCAUCUGCCUCGGCGAACAAGGUAAUCAAUCAGCUUGAUGAUGACUAAGAAGAGUUUACGAGGUAAAGAUGAAGUCAGCAGUUAAUACUCACAGUAUGCUCUAUCGGCACUGUUGUGUCCACUCGGUGAGGAAAGUACAGAUCGAUGUAAUCAACACCGAGGCGUUGGAGACUGCCUUCACAGCAUUUGCGAGCAUAUUCCGGCAAGCCAUUGAUCAGCAGCCGGCCGUCCUCGAAACCAGCAAUGCCGAACUUGCUUGCUAU
RNAcentral lists this long non-coding RNA (731 nucleotides) under Musa acuminata (dwarf banana). Its description in RNAcentral is "long non-coding RNA (MACU_LNC004817)". The record is from RNAcentral. Lineage: Eukaryota; Viridiplantae; Streptophyta; Magnoliopsida; Zingiberales; Musaceae.